UACGUAGGGUGCAAGCGUUGUCCGGAAUUAUUGGGCGUAAAGAGCUCGUAGGCGGUCUGCUGCGUCGGCCGUGAAAACCUGCAGCUUAACUGUGGGCGUGCGGUCGAUACGGGCAUCACUGGAGUUCGGCAGGGGAGACUGGAAUUCCUGGUGUAGCGGUGAAAUGCGCAGAUAUCAGGAGGAACACCGGUGGCGAAGGCGGGUCUCUGGGCCGAUACUGACGCUGAGGAGCGAAAGCAUGGGGAGCGAACAGG
Molecule: ribosomal RNA, 254 nt
Filed under: uncultured bacterium
Lineage: Bacteria
Description: partial 16S ribosomal RNA
Rfam family: Bacterial small subunit ribosomal RNA
Source: RNAcentral